RNAcentral lists this ribosomal RNA (460 nucleotides) under uncultured bacterium. RNAcentral's name for it is "partial 16S ribosomal RNA". It matches the Rfam family "Bacterial small subunit ribosomal RNA", at positions 338 to 795 of the family's 1533-position model. The record is from RNAcentral.
CCUACGGGUGGCAGCAGUGAGGAAUAUUGGUCAAUGGGCGCGAGCCUGAACCAGCCAAGUAGCGUGAAGGAUGACUGCCCUACGGGUUGUAAACUUCUUUUAUAAAGGAAUAAAGUGAGGCACGUGUGCCUUUUUGUAUGUACUUUAUGAAUAAGGAUCGGCUAACUCCGUGCCAGCCGCCGCGGGAAUACGGAGGAUCCGAGCGUUAUCCGGAUUUAUUGGGUUUAAAGGGAGCGUAGAUGGGUUGUUAAGUCAGUUGUGAAAGUUGGCGGUUCAACCGUAAAAUUGCAAUUGAUACUGGCAGCCUUGAGUACAGUUGAGGUAGGCGGAAUUCGUGGUGUAGCGGUGAAAUGCUGAGAUAUCACGAAGAACUCCGAUUGCGAAGGCAGCCUACUAAACUGCCACUGACAUUGAUGCUCGAAAGUGUGGGUAUCAAACAGGAUUAGAUACCCCUGUAGUC